GCUAGCAGUUGUUCAAGACCAGACUAUAGAAAUAAGGUCUGCCAAGGAUGAAUUUGGGUCUGUCAUUGGGAAAUGUCAAGUCCCUAAAGAUCCGAAUCC
Long non-coding RNA from Protobothrops mucrosquamatus (brown spotted pit viper), 99 nucleotides. RefSeq lists it as uncharacterized. The transcript is spliced from 3 exons. Lineage: Eukaryota; Metazoa; Chordata; Lepidosauria; Squamata; Viperidae. The record is from RefSeq and is a predicted model, not a curated record.